RNAcentral lists this ribosomal RNA (266 nucleotides) under uncultured prokaryote. Its description in RNAcentral is "partial 16S ribosomal RNA". It matches the Rfam family "Bacterial small subunit ribosomal RNA", at positions 8 to 250 of the family's 1533-position model. The record is from RNAcentral.
AGAGUUUGAUCCUGGCUCAGAACGAACGCUGGCGGCGUGCCUAACACAUGCAAGUCCAACGUGAAAGGGGAGCAAUCCCCCGGUAGGGUGGGCAAACGGGUAGAGUAAUACAUGGGUGGAUCUACCUUAGGGAUGGGGAGUAUCCUUCCGAAAGGAGGGGGCGAAUACCGAAUAUUGUCCGGAGCCGUGAAGGGUUCCGGGGAAGGGAGGGCCUCUGAUACAAGCUUUCGUCCUUAAGAUGAGCCCACUGGCCCACUCAGCUAGUU